This is a long non-coding RNA of Arabidopsis thaliana (thale cress), 850 nucleotides long. RefSeq annotates it as other RNA. Lineage: Eukaryota; Viridiplantae; Streptophyta; Magnoliopsida; Brassicales; Brassicaceae. The transcript has a single exon. The record is from RefSeq.
GCAAUCAACAAAAAAAGGGUCAAUAAUGUGGUCAAAAGAGUGAGUGAUAAAGGGGUAUAAUGGUAAAUAGAAAGCAAAUGAUUGAGGAAGAAGUGUUUGGAGAACGUGGGAGAGAAGAAGAGAGAGAGGAGAGGGUCUCCGUUACAGCGAACCAUAAGCCCCACGACAUACCCGCCGCGUGUGGACCCCAUUACUUCGUCCGUUAUUGCUGACGUGUCGAGACCGUUCCACAUGAUUGGUUUUCACGUUUGGGUCCCAUGUUUUCGCCGCCAGCCGCGCGUGAGCUGUCUCGACCAGAAAUGACUGUUCCGUCCACGUAGGCUUGUGUCUGAAUUCUCCACCGUCAGAUCUUUUUGGACCCUUCUUUCCAAGAUUUUUAUGCUUUCCAAUGUUUUCAUGCACGUUGCAAUCAUUCAGGAUUCGUCCAAACAUUUUACUAUAUGGUUGUUUUGAGAUAACAUGCUUAAGAUAAUGGCUACUAUUUCUAAAUUAAGUUUGUUUGGGGGUUACAUAAUCACUCUUCUUAUUCCUAAUAUAACCCUCAAGGUCAAUACACAAAGGCAAAGUAUUGAGAGCAUCAACAUCACCUAAGUUUUAUUGUGUCUCCUUAUCCUUUCUACUACAACUUCUAUAUACAACAAAACACAUCUUUCAUUUUUUUUUUUGCUCUAACUUUUAUAAGAACAUGAUAAACAAAACAAAAAAAAACCUACACAUCAAAAUCAUUUGACUUUCCAUCUAUCAACUUAUCCAUCAACUUACUUUCUUGAGGUCUCUUUGUGUCCAUCUUCUCCUUGUUCUGCCUCCUCUCUUAUAGUCAUUUGUUGUGGCUCUUUUUGUAGUUUCCUAC